Pseudopipra pipra is the source of this 950-nucleotide long non-coding RNA. RefSeq lists it as uncharacterized. The transcript is spliced from 3 exons. The record is from RefSeq and is a predicted model, not a curated record. NCBI's taxonomy places the organism in Eukaryota, Metazoa, Chordata, Aves, Passeriformes, Pipridae.
GGCAUUCCCAAGGGAAUAUUCCCUGGAAUACCACAAGCCCCGAGCAGAACAUCACGAGGUCACUCCACAAACCCGCCAACACGGUGCUGCUGUGCAGGCCUUCUCCACCCACAGAGCAAACAACAAUCAAGGAACAACAGGGCCCUUGUUCCACCCCCCCCCUUCAAACCCACUGUCCAACGGGUCCUUCUAACAGCUACGGGCUCAUCCUGCUUCUGCUCCUCCCCUCGGGGCACAGGAGCAGCCUGGCCCCGUGCUGGGAGCAGUUCCUGCCAUUGAGGUCGAGCCUUUGAUGUGGGGCUUUGAGCUGGGCUGGUCCCUGCAGGGCAGGCAGGAUCCUCAUGGAUCCUUCUGGAGCAGUUUUGGGGCCAACAUCUUGUUUUGCUCCACACACAGACACCCUGUGGGCUGGUGGUGACACCGGGAGCCCUUCACCUGCUCACCCUGACCCCUUAGCCCAGCCCUUCCAGGUGAUGUCCCACUGGGAGCCCCAGGCACAACACCUCAAACUGGCACAGACAGCCCAUCGUCCCAGCAAAGGUGUCCCCUGGCACUGGCACCACCAGGGUUGGGACCUGGAAAAUCUUUUUCUUCACACGGACCUGGGGGGGUCCCCGUGGGGAGCAGCACAGGGUCCAUCCCUGUGGGAUUCCUCCCCCCUCCCUCUGCCCCACUCCUGCCCAUGACCUGAGAGGACAAAGCCAGCAGCGACCUCUGCUCCCGUUGCACGAGGACAGGUCACCUGCCCACAUCUGAACAGAAACACACGGAAACAACUCCCUGGCAGGGAGGAGCAGCUUCCUCCCAGCCUGCUCAGGAGCAGCUCUCUUCCCAGCCUGCCCCAGCUCCUGGAUUUGGGAGCCGAGCGUGGGACAGGUGGUUGACGCACACCUGAGACUGCGAGAACUUUCACCGCCUGUAAUAAACCACCCGCGUCCAACCCACAACAA